UUCAACUCAACCUCAUAGAAGGAAACAUCGACUGUUUCUUGGAUAGGAUGUGCGACGCUGGUGAACCCUAUCGGGGGAAGCAUGCUGCCAUUGGAGAAAUCUCUAAAGAUAAUAACAGAAAUCAUCCUUUCUCGCGAGCACGACGCUGAUGUCCCUAUUUAUGUUUGACGGCGGGCAAACGACUACGGUCGACACAGGUGAUGAAUGACGGUCAGGGGAUGAGUGAACCACGACAUCCUGUACAUAGAAGAAAAUGGUUCCUACAUCCAUUUUGAGUACAUCAUAAGGUCAUAUAAUUUUGCUUGUAUUUGAUGGCGAGCUUCGGUGCAAAAGUAAGAUUUGCUUAGUUUGUCUCCGUAAGAUAUGUUGUGCCAUGAUGUUGGUCGAGAUCAAGCUGCAGACGAGCCUCUUUUACGGACUGUGUUGCAUAGCUAUAUAGUCAUAUGCAACUUAAUUCUUUUGCCUUGACUGCUCUUGUUUGUCUCAUAACAAGUCAUGAUGAGAUUGUUUAGCCCUCGUAAAACAAAUUACUAUUUCUUCCAAUGUGUUUUUUAAGAAAGAGGAUUAUGGAGCUUGUGCAUUGUUUUCA
Molecule: long non-coding RNA, 589 nt
Organism: Musa acuminata AAA Group (dessert banana)
Lineage: Eukaryota; Viridiplantae; Streptophyta; Magnoliopsida; Zingiberales; Musaceae
Exons: 4
Source: RefSeq, a predicted model, not a curated record